Molecule: long non-coding RNA, 557 nt
Organism: Polypterus senegalus (gray bichir)
Lineage: Eukaryota; Metazoa; Chordata; Cladistia; Polypteriformes; Polypteridae
Exons: 2
Source: RefSeq, a predicted model, not a curated record
ACUUUGUCUUCUCGUUAAUAGCUCAAUAGAGUAAAGACUUGGCACUACAUCUGAAAUGAAAAAAAAAUGUCUUGCUAUUCUGUUCCAUAGCACUGCGUUUUGCAGGUUUCUUUUCUUUUAGAAGAAACGUCAGCCUCCCUUCUCCAACAUCCAGCACAGGGCACUGAUGAGCAGCAACACAGAAUCCUUCAGCAUCUUACCGAGGCAGAGAAGUGGUAUGCUGAGAACAUUUCUGUGUUCAGAGGGCACAUCUCACUCCCUCAUUACUGUCAAUGGACAAAGACAACAUUGAGGAGGCCCUUCCAAAAUUUGAUUUGCUAUGUGAAUUUCUAGAAGAAGAGGAGAGGGAAUAUGUCCUUAGACCCUUCAUCAUCCUUUAUUUCACAUACGGAAGACGUGCAUCUGUUUUUAGAUAACGUGAGAGGAAAAAGGAAAAUGUCUGUUUUGGCAGAAAAUGUAACAAACAUACAUGUCCCUCAUUGCUCAGUUACAACCUACAACUCUUGUUCUAUAUUUUAUAUAUUCUUUAACUUUUUGUAAUAAAUGUUGCAAACCAA